GUGCUCACUUCGGCAGCACAUAUGCUAAAAUUGGAAUGAUACAGAGGAGAUUAGCAUGGCCCCUAGAAAACAAACAAACAAACAAAAAUCUAUACUGAAUU
This 101-nucleotide small nuclear RNA is filed under the name Salvator merianae (Argentine black and white tegu). Lineage: Eukaryota; Metazoa; Chordata; Lepidosauria; Squamata; Teiidae. The record is from RNAcentral.